Molecule: small RNA, 130 nt
Filed under: Salmonella enterica
Lineage: Bacteria; Pseudomonadati; Pseudomonadota; Gammaproteobacteria; Enterobacterales; Enterobacteriaceae
Also listed under: 2 other names
Description: RtT sRNA
Rfam family: RtT RNA
About the family: This family represents a bacterial cis-regulatory element known as RtT RNA.
Source: RNAcentral
UAUCUCUCUGUACGGGAAGGAUGAGAAGCUUCGACUAAGGUUCGAUUCGAGCGCAGCGAGAAAGCGUUGCCGCAGGCAACGACCCGAAGGGCGAAGCGCGCAGCGCUGAGUAAUCCUUCCCCCACCACCA